GACGAACGCUGGCGGCGUGCCUAAUACAUGCAAGUCGUGCGGACCUUUUAAAAGCUUGCUUUUAAAAGGUUAGCGGCGGACGGGUGAGUAACACGUGGGCAACCUGCCUGUAAGACUGGGAUAACGCCGGGAAACCGGGGCUAAUACCAGAUCGUUUUUUCCUCCGCAUGGAGGAAAAAGGAAAGGCGGCUUCGGCUGCCACUUACAGAUGGGCCCGCGGCGCAUUAGCUAGUUGGCGGGGUAACGGCCCACCAAGGCAACGAUGCGUAGCCGACCUGAGAGGGUGAGCGGCCACAUUGGGACUGAGACACGGCCCAAACUCCCACGGGAGGCAGCAGGAGGGAAUCUUCCGGAAUGGACGAAAGUCUGACGGAGCAACGCCGCGUGAGUGAAGAAGGCCUUCGGGUCGUAAAACUCUGUUGCCGGGGAAGAACAAGUGCCGUUCGAACAGGGCGGCGCCUUGACGGUACCCGGCCAGAAAGCCACGGCUAACUACGUG
RNAcentral lists this ribosomal RNA (499 nucleotides) under uncultured bacterium. Its description in RNAcentral is "partial 16S ribosomal RNA". It matches the Rfam family "Bacterial small subunit ribosomal RNA", at positions 28 to 507 of the family's 1533-position model. The record is from RNAcentral.